Molecule: ribosomal RNA, 461 nt
Filed under: uncultured beta proteobacterium
Lineage: Bacteria; Pseudomonadati; Pseudomonadota; Betaproteobacteria
Description: bacterial SSU rRNA
Rfam family: Bacterial small subunit ribosomal RNA
Source: RNAcentral
AGGAAAGUAGGGGAUCGCAAGACCUUGCGCUUUUGGAGCGGCCGAUGUCUGAUUAGCUAGUUGGUGGGGUAAAGGCUUACCAAGGCUUCGAUCAGUAGCUGGUCUGAGAGGACGACCAGCCACACUGGGACUGAGACACGGCCCAGACUCCUACGGGAGGCAGCAGUGGGGAAUUUUGGACAAUGGGGGAAACCCUGAUCCAGCCAUGCCGCGUGAGUGAAGAAGGCCUUCGGGUUGUAAAGCUCUUUCAGCCGGAACGAAAAGGUCAUGGCUAAUACCCGUGACAAAUGACGGUACCGGAAGAAGAAGCACCGGCUAACUACGUGCCAGCAGCCGCGGUAAUACGUAGGGUGCAAGCGUUAAUCGGAAUUACUGGGCGUAAAGCGUGCGCAGGCGGUUUUGUAAGUCAGAUGUGAAAUCCCCGGGCUUAACCUGGGAACUGCGUUUGAAACUACAAGGCU